Molecule: ribosomal RNA, 1971 nt
Filed under: human gut metagenome
Description: bacterial LSU rRNA
Rfam family: Bacterial large subunit ribosomal RNA
Source: RNAcentral
GAAAGUAAACAAGGGCGCAUGGCGGAUGCCUUGGCUCUCGGAGGCGAUGAAGGACGUGAUAAGCUGCGAUAAGCUCCGGGGAGGUGCAAAUAACCUUUGAUCCGGGGAUUUCCGAAUGGGACAACCCGGCGUGUUGAAGACACGCCACCUGAUCAUUUCAGGAGCUAACGCAGGGAACUGAAACAUCUUAGUACCUGCAGGAAAAGAAAAUAACAAUGAUUCCCCCAGUAGUGGCGAGCGAACGGGGAAUAGCCCAAACCGUUCAUGUUACGGCAUGAUCGGGGUUGUAGGACUACGUCGUUGCAUGAAGACAUCGGAGAAGAACUUUCUGGAAAGAAAGACCAUAGAGCAUGACAGUUGCGUAUUCGUAUGUUGUCGAAGCAUAGUAGUAUCCUGAGUAGCGCGGAGCACGAGGAAUUCUGCGUGAAUCUGCCGGGACCAUCCGGUAAGGCUAAAUACUCCCGAGAGACCGAUAGCGAACCAGUACCGUGAGGGAAAGGUGAAAAGCACUUCGAACAGAAGAGUGAAAUAGUUCCUGAAACCGUGCGCCUACAAGCGGUCGGAGCUCAGCAAUGAGUGACGGCGUGCCUUUUGCAUAAUGAACCUACGAGUUGCCUUUGCCGGCAAGGUUAAGUGUGACGACACACGUAUCCGAAGCGAAAGCGAGUCUGAAGAGGGCGUAUAGUCGGCAGUGGCAGACGCGAAACCAAGUGAUCUACCCUUGGCCAGGUUGAAGGCUGGGUAACACCAGCUGGAGGACCGCACCAAUAAGCGUUGAAAAGCUUCUGGAUGAGCUGAGGGUAGGGGUGAAAGGCUAAUCAAACUUGGAGAUAGCUCGUACUCCCCGAAAUGCAUUUAGGUGCAGCCUUGUGGGUUACUGAUGUGAGGUAGAGCGACUGAUAAGAUGCGAGGGCUUCACCGCCUAUCAAGUCUUGACAAACUCCGAAUGCGCAUCAGUUUUACCUCAGGAGUGAGGGCAUGGGUGCUAAGGUCCGUGCCCGAGAGGAGAAGAAUCCGGACCACCUGCUAAGGUCCCGAAAUGACAGCUAAGUUAAACUAACGAAGUCUGACUGCUAAGACAGCUAGGAUGUUGGCUUGGAAGCAGCCAUUCAUUUAAAGAGUGCGUAACAGCUCACUAGUCGAGGAGUCUGGCGUGGAUAAUAAUCGGGUAUUAAGUUGUCUACCGAAGCAGUGGGAUCAUUGAAAUGAUCGGUAGGGGAGCAUUCCAGUCAGCGUCGAAGGCGUACCGCGAGGUAUUCUGGAGCGUCUGGAAAAGCAAAUGUAGGUAUAAGUAACGAUAAAGGGGGCGGGAAACCCCCUCGCCGAAAGACUAAGGUUUCCUGAUCAACGCUAAUCGGAUCAGGGUAAGUCGGGUCCUAAGGCUCAGCCGAAGGGCGAUGCCGAUGGCAGAAACGGUUAAUAUUCCGUUACUACCUCCAGGAGUGAUGUGGAGACGCAGUAGUGACAAUGCCGCCAUCUGACGGAAUAGAUGGUUGAAGGGUGUAGAUGUUGAUCUUGGCAGGCAAAUCCACCAUGAGAAUCGAACCUGAUAGUAUGCCGCGUCCCUCGGGACAAGGCAAUAGUGCAUGUAAUCAUGCUGCCAAGAAAAUCCGCUAAACUAAAUCCUGUAGGUACCCGUACCGUAAACGGACACACGUAGUCGGGAUGAAUAUUCUAAGGCGCUUGAGUGAUUCACGGUUAAGGAACUAGGCAAACUGACCCUGUAACUUCGGGAUAAAGGGUCCCUACCCGGUGACGGGAGGGCGCAGAGAAUAGGUCCAGGCAACUGUUUAACAAAAACACAGGGCUGUGCUAAAUCGAAAGAUCCUGUAUACAGCCUGACACCUGCCCGGUGCUGGAAGGUUAAGAGGAGACGUCAUCGUUGAGAGAAGCGUUGAAUUGAAGCCCCAGUAAACGGCGGCCGUAACUAUAACGGUCCUAAGGUAGCGAAAUUCCUUGUCGGGUAAGUUC